UGAGGAAUACAUCGGAAUCUACCUUUUCGUGGGGGAUAACGUAGGAGACUUACGCUAAUACCGCAUACGACCUACGGGUGAAAGUGGGGGACCGCAAGCCUCACGCGAUUAGAUGAGCCGAUGUCCGAUUAGCUAGUUGGCGGGGUAAUGGCCCACCAAGCGACGAUCGGUAGCUGGUCUGAGAGGAUGAUCAGCCACACUGGAACUGAGACACGGUCCAGACUCCUACGGGAGGCAGCAGUGGGGAAUAUUGGACAAUGGGCGCAAGCCUGAUCCAGCCAUACCGCGUGGGUGAAGAAGGCCUUCGGGUUGUAAAGCCCUUUUGUUGGGAAAGAAAUCCUGUCGAUUAAUACUCGGUGGGGAUGACGGUACCCAAAGAAUAAGCACCGGCUAACUUCGUGCCAGCAGCCGCGGUAAUACGAAGGGUGCAAGCGUUACUCGGAAUUACUGGGCGUAAAGCGUGCGUAGGUGGUGGUUUAAGUCUGCUGUGAAAGCCCUGGGCUCAACCUGGGAAUUGCAGUGGAUACUGGAUCACUAGAGUGUGGUAGAGGGAUGCGGAAUUUCUGGUGUAGCAGUGAAAUGCGUAGAGAUCAGAAGGAACAUCCGUGGCGAAGGCGGCAUCCUGGGCCAACACUGACACUGAGGCACGAAAGCGUGGGGAGCAAACAGGAUUAGAUACCUGGUAGUCCACGCCCUAAACGAUGCGAACUGGAUGUU
This 717-nucleotide ribosomal RNA is filed under the name bacterium MS-AsV-15. Its description in RNAcentral is "bacterial SSU rRNA". It matches the Rfam family "Bacterial small subunit ribosomal RNA", at positions 107 to 824 of the family's 1533-position model. The record is from RNAcentral.